This 30-nucleotide non-coding RNA is filed under the name Homo sapiens (human). Lineage: Eukaryota; Metazoa; Chordata; Mammalia; Primates; Hominidae. The record is from RNAcentral.
UGGCCGAAUNGGAACAGCUCCAGUCUGCAG